UACGGAGGAUGCGAGCGUUAUCCGGAUUUAUUGGGUUUAAAGGGUGCGUAGGCGGGCUUUUAAGUCAGCGGUAAAAAUUCGGGGCUCAACCCCGUCCGGCCGUUGAAACUGGGGGUCUUGAGUGGGCGAGAAGAAGGCGGAAUGCGUGGUGUAGAGGUGAAAUGCAUAGAUAUCACGCAGAACCCCGAUUGCGAAGGCAGCCUUCCGGCGCCCUACUGACGCUGAGGCACGAAAGUGCGGGGAUCGAACAGG
This 252-nucleotide ribosomal RNA is filed under the name uncultured bacterium. RNAcentral describes it as "partial 16S ribosomal RNA". It matches the Rfam family "Bacterial small subunit ribosomal RNA", at positions 524 to 776 of the family's 1533-position model. The record is from RNAcentral.